AAAUCACUGCUGCCUCUGGUGGACAUUAGAAGAACUGCAGGGUUUUUCAGCCCAGGUAAGAUCUUCAGUUUCAGUUCUUUGGGAAGUGUCAGAGAGGAGGGCUGGGUCUCUUUCUGAAACACUGUGGGUGCAUUUACAAUAAGAAGCGAGGAACGAGCCAAAAAGCUGAGCUUACUGCCAGAAAAACACUUCAUGAAGAUUAAACUGAGGCAGCCAAUCACAGCAAGGCUUGUCCUUCUAAAGAGAUGGGGAGUUGCGUCAUUAUUACACCCAAUCGUCCCAUUCGUUUACACACCUCGUGAUAAAUAACACACUUUAUUGAUUUAAUGCCUCUUUACACAAACAUCAGCCCUGAAUGCUGACUCACAGGCACCCAGAGACCCAGAUCUUGAGAGCUGGUUUCAGUAUGUCUGUGAGCUCCAUCAGCCGGUCUUAGGUUCUGUAUGUUUAAUGAUCCUCAGCAGUCAUUAAGGUACAGUCCAGAGUCAUGUGUCACAGUUUUACUCCUCUGCUGCAGCACUCCAUGUUUACUCACAUUAUCAGCCGUCUGGUUUUUCUAAAAUCUUUUUUUUUUUUUUGGUUUGGAGGGCUGGGUCAUAGUCUGCAGCAGAAAGCUGCCCAUUAUCCUCUCCAAGCUCACUUCACAUGAAUACAGAGUAGGAGCUGAUUAGCAGCAAACACUGAACGCCAUCAGUCGCCGCUCAUGCGCUUACAGCUGCAGAUGAAUUACAGGCUGCCAGAGUUUGAGUGAUUUUACCCAGUGGGACGUCUACAGGACACUGUGACAGGGACGAGGCUGAUGAACCUCCUGUUUACUCUACAGACCAGGCCGAGCCUCCGUCCAGCUCACAGAGCUGUGCUGCUGGACCGCUGCUUCAUGAAGGCACCUGAGUGUAAGUAGGCAGUGGCAGCAGUCAGCUUAACCUCAGUCUGAAAUCAUCUUUCACACAUUUAGAAACUUUGUUAGACGAAUAAACAUUAACCUGAACCUGAACCUCAUUGGCUGCCUCUCACAAAAGAGU
Long non-coding RNA from Astatotilapia calliptera (eastern happy), 1022 nucleotides. The record is from Ensembl. NCBI's taxonomy places the organism in Eukaryota, Metazoa, Chordata, Actinopteri, Cichliformes, Cichlidae.